Molecule: ribosomal RNA, 477 nt
Filed under: uncultured bacterium
Lineage: Bacteria
Description: bacterial SSU rRNA
Rfam family: Bacterial small subunit ribosomal RNA
Source: RNAcentral
GAUGAACGCUAGCGGCAGGCCUAAUACAUGCAAGUCGAACGGUAGAUCGGGUAGCAAUACUUGAUUGAGAGUGACGUAAGGGUGCGUAACACGUAUGCAAUCUACCCUCAACAGGAGUAUAGCUCGGGGAAACUCGGAUUAACACUCCAUAACAUUACGAUGUGGCAUCACAUUGUGAUUAAAACUCCGGUGGUUGAGGAUGAGCAUGCGUCUGAUUAGUUAGUUGGAGGUGUAACGGACCCCCAAGACGAUGAUCAGUAGGGGAACUGAGAGGUUGAUCCCCCACACUGGCACUGAGAUACGGGCCAGACUCCUACGGGAGGCAGCAGUAGGGAAUAUUGGUCAAUGGGUGAGAGCCUGAACCAGCCAUGCCGCGUGCAGGAAGACGGCCUUCUGGGUUGUAAACUGCUUUUAUCUGGGGAUAAAAAGCCCAUGCGUGGGACAUUGAAGGUACCAGAUGAAUAAGCACCGGCUAAC